RNAcentral lists this ribosomal RNA (492 nucleotides) under uncultured bacterium. Its description in RNAcentral is "bacterial SSU rRNA". It matches the Rfam family "Bacterial small subunit ribosomal RNA", at positions 8 to 480 of the family's 1533-position model. The record is from RNAcentral.
AGAGUUUGAUCCUGGUCAGAAUCAACGCUGGCGGCGUGCUAACACAUGCAAGUCGAACGCGAAAGGGGAGCAAUCCCUGAGUAGAGUGGCAAACGGGUGAGUAACACGUGGGUGACCUGCCUUCGAGUGGGGGAUAACGUCCCGAAAGGGACGCUAAUACCGCAUGACAUCCUGUCUUUGGACAGACGGAGAUCAAAGCCGGGGAUUCGCAAGAACCUGGCGCUUGAAGAGGGGCCCGCGCCUGAUUAGCUAGUUGGUGAGGUAACGGCUCACCAAGGCAACGAUCAGUAUCCGGCCUGAGAGGGCGGACGGACACACUGGGACUGAGACACGGCCCAGACUCCUACGGGAGGCAGCAGUGGGGAAUUGUUCGCAAUGGGCGCAAGCCUGACGACGCAACGCCGCGUGGAGGAUGAAGAUCUUCGGGUCGUAAACUCCUGUCGAGUGGGAAGAAUGGACCGGGAAUAAAUACUUCCCGGUAUUGACGUACCA